AUUGAACGCUGGCGGCAUGCCUUACACAUGCAAGUCGAACGGUAACGGGCCUUCGGGUGCCGACGAGUGGCGAACGGGUGAGUAAUGUAUCGGAACGUACCUUUCAGUGGGGGAUAACGUAGCGAAAGUUACGCUAAUACCGCAUAUUCUGUGAGCAGGAAAGUCAGGGGAUCGCAAGACCUUGCGCUGAUUGAGCGGCCGAUAUCAGAUUAGCUAGUUGGUGAGGUAAAGGCUCACCAAGGCGACGAUCUGUAGCGGGUCUGAGAGGAUGAUCCGCCACACUGGAACUGAGACACGGUCCAGACUCCUACGGGAGGCAGCAGUGGGGAAUUUUGGACAAUGGGGGCAACCCUGAUCCAGCCAUGCCGCGUGAGUGAAGAAGG
RNAcentral lists this ribosomal RNA (383 nucleotides) under uncultured bacterium. RNAcentral describes it as "bacterial SSU rRNA". It matches the Rfam family "Bacterial small subunit ribosomal RNA", at positions 30 to 414 of the family's 1533-position model. The record is from RNAcentral.